GGUGGCUCAGUGGUAGAGUGCUUGCCUUGCAUGCAUAAGGCCCUGGGUUCAAUUCCUCAGCACCA
Non-coding RNA from Dipodomys ordii (Ord's kangaroo rat), 65 nucleotides. The record is from Rfam. NCBI's taxonomy places the organism in Eukaryota, Metazoa, Chordata, Mammalia, Rodentia, Heteromyidae.